RNAcentral lists this ribosomal RNA (1343 nucleotides) under uncultured bacterium. Its description in RNAcentral is "16S ribosomal RNA". It matches the Rfam family "Bacterial small subunit ribosomal RNA", at positions 28 to 1378 of the family's 1533-position model. The record is from RNAcentral.
GACGAACGCUGGCGGCGUGCUUAACACAUGCAAGUCGAACGGAAAGGCCCUGCUUUUGUGGGGUGCUCGAGUGGCGAACGGGUGAGUAACACGUGAGUAACCUGCCCUUGACUUUGGGAUAACUUCAGGAAACUGGGGCUAAUACCGGAUAGGAGCUCCUGCUGCAUGGUGGGGGUUGGAAAGUUUCGGCGGUUGGGGAUGGACUCGCGGCUUAUCAGCUUGUUGGUGGGGUAGUGGCUUACCAAGGCUUUGACGGGUAGCCGGCCUGAGAGGGUGACCGGCCACAUUGGGACUGAGAUACGGCCCAGACUCCUACGGGAGGCAGCAGUGGGGAAUAUUGCACAAUGGGCGGAAGCCUGAUGCAGCAACGCCGCGUGCGGGAUGACGGCCUUCGGGUUGUAAACCGCUUUCGCCUGUGACGAAGCGUGAGUGACGGUAAUGGGUAAAGAAGCACCGGCUAACUACGUGCCAGCAGCCGCGGUGAUACGUAGGGUGCGAGCGUUGUCCGGAUUUAUUGGGCGUAAAGGGCUCGUAGGUGGUUGAUCGCGUCGGAAGUGUAAUCUUGGGGCUUAACCCUGAGCGUGCUUUCGAUACGGGUUGACUUGAGGAAGGUAGGGGAGAAUGGAAUUCCUGGUGGAGCGGUGGAAUGCGCAGAUAUCAGGAGGAACACCAGUGGCGAAGGCGGUUCUCUGGGCCUUUCCUGACGCUGAGGAGCGAAAGCGUGGGGAGCGAACAGGCUUAGAUACCCUGGUAGUCCACGCUGUAAACGGUGGGUACUAGGUGUGGGGUCCAUUCCACGGGUUCCGUGCCGUAGCUAACGCUUUAAGUACCCCGCCUGGGGAGUACGGCCGCAAGGCUAAAACUCAAAGGAAUUGACGGGGCCCCGCACAAGCGGCGGAGCAUGCGGAUUAAUUCGAUGCAACGCGUAGAACCUUACCUGGGUUUGACAUGGAUCGGGAGUGCUCAGAGAUGGGUGUGCCUCUUUUGGGGUCGGUUCACAGGUGGUGCAUGGCUGUCGUCAGCUCGUGUCGUGAGAUGUUGGGUUAAGUCCCGCAACGAGCGCAACCCUUGUUCACUGUUGCCAGCACGUUAUGGUGGGGACUCAGUGGAGACCGCCGGGGUCAGCUCGGAGGAAGGUGGGGAUGACGUCAAGUCAUCAUGCCCCUUAUGUCCAGGGCUUCACGCAUGCUACAAUGGCUGGUACAGAGAGUGGCGAGCCUGUGAGGGUGAGCGAAUCUCGGAAAGCCGGUCUCAGUUCGGAUUGGGGUCCGCAACUCGACCUCAUGAAGUCGGAGUCGCUAGUAAUCGCAGAUCAGCAACGCUGCGGUGAAUACGUUCCCGGG